This 84-nucleotide transfer RNA is filed under the name Peptoclostridium acidaminophilum DSM 3953. It matches the Rfam family "tRNA". Rfam says of the family: Transfer RNA (tRNA) molecules are approximately 80 nucleotides in length. Their secondary structure includes four short double-helical elements and three loops (D, anti-codon, and T loops). Further hydrogen bonds mediate the characteristic L-shaped molecular structure. tRNAs have two regions of fundamental functional importance: the anti-codon, which is responsible for specific mRNA codon recognition, and the 3' end, to which the tRNAs corresponding amino acid is attached (by aminoacyl-tRNA synthetases). tRNAs cope with the degeneracy of the genetic code in two manners: having more than one tRNA (with a specific anti-codon) for a particular amino acid; and 'wobble' base-pairing, i.e. permitting non-standard base-pairing at the 3rd anti-codon position. The record is from Rfam by way of RNAcentral. Lineage: Bacteria; Bacillati; Bacillota; Clostridia; Peptostreptococcales; Peptoclostridiaceae.
GCAGGGAUGGCGGAAUUGGCAGACGCACUAGAUUCAGGUUCUAGCGGUAGCAAUAUCGUGAGGGUUCGACUCCCUUUUCCUGCA